Tachysurus vachellii is the source of this 405-nucleotide long non-coding RNA. RefSeq lists it as uncharacterized. The record is from RefSeq and is a predicted model, not a curated record. NCBI's taxonomy places the organism in Eukaryota, Metazoa, Chordata, Actinopteri, Siluriformes, Bagridae. The transcript is spliced from 3 exons.
CACAACGUGUAAGACUCAGCUUUAAUCAAACUGACAGCAUCAUCAUCAGCAGCAUCAGCAUCAUUAUCAUCAUCAUCAGAAUGCAGUAUUUGGUGUUCAUCAUGUUUUGGUUAUCUUGUGCAGCCCAGUAAUAAACCAAACUGUGAUCAACUACACAUCAGACAGGAUGCAUGUUGACCCACAAAAUCCAAGACAAAUACAAAUAUCUGAUGUACAGCCUUCAGAUGCAGGAUUAUACUCAUGUUUCCCAUUCGACAAGGAGUGGAUAUUGACUAUAGCAGCUUUUGCCAAUUCAGACAGAGAAAUACAACAAGACAAUAUAUGGCCAUUCUACAUAGUUUUCUCAGUAAGCACAGUGUGUGUCACUAUGUGUUUCUUCUGUGGCGUGUGCCUUCACAGGUGAGA